UAUGGCCGGUGCAGGUGUACGGCUCAGCAACCUCGGCGCUUUUAUUGCCGGGGGCGUUGACGAACUUCACAGUUCGGCAGGAGUUCAGGUGGCUUCGCCAAUGCGCUAUCGCAACGCGAAUGUCUCAAUGUCUUCCGAUGCCCGUACCGAUGAGUAUUCCCGCUACGUUGUGGAUGGCGCUAUGGUCGCCGCCAUGAAAGCGGCGCUCACGCCGACCCGUCAUUUUUCAUAACGCCCGUUUUUUACCGCGCAUCAUGUCGCCCAAUAUGAUGCUUGCUCGUACCAGGCCCCAAUGUGUUGUUGGGGCUUUUUUUA
Non-coding RNA from Cronobacter sp., 315 nucleotides. NCBI's taxonomy places the organism in Bacteria, Pseudomonadati, Pseudomonadota, Gammaproteobacteria, Enterobacterales, Enterobacteriaceae. The record is from Rfam.